RNAcentral lists this ribosomal RNA (94 nucleotides) under uncultured bacterium. RNAcentral describes it as "partial 16S ribosomal RNA". The record is from RNAcentral.
CACACCGCCCGUCAAACCAUGGAAGCUGUUUGUACCAGAAGUCGCUGUGCUAACUUCGGAGGCAGGCGCCCAAGGUAUGAAGAGUGAUUGGGUG